Molecule: ribosomal RNA, 253 nt
Filed under: uncultured bacterium
Lineage: Bacteria
Description: partial 16S ribosomal RNA
Rfam family: Bacterial small subunit ribosomal RNA
Source: RNAcentral
UACGUAGGGUGCAAGCGUUAAUCGGAAUUACUGGGCGUAAAGCGUGCGUAGACGGCUAUCUAAGUCGGGUGUGAAAGCCCCGGGCUCAACCUGGGAAUUGCAUUCGAGACUGAAUAGCUAGGGUGCGGUAGAGGGAAGCGGAAUUUCCGGUGUAGCGGUGAAAUGCGUAGAUAUCGGAAGGAACGCCGGUGGCGAAAGCGGCACACUGGAUCUCAACUGACGCUGAGGCACGAAAGCCAGGGGAGCGAACGGG